UCUUGUGCCAGCCGCCGCGCUAAUAUCGGUGAGGAGCAAGCGUUAAUCGGAAUUACUGGGCGUGAAGCCUUAGAAGGUGGUUAAUUAAGUCAGAUGUGAAAUCCCUAAGCUUAACUUAGGAACUGCAUUUGAAACUGAUUAGCUAGAGUUUUGUAGAGGGGGGUAGAAUUCCAGGUGUAGCGGUGAAAUGCGUAGAGAUCUGGAGGAAUACCAGUGGCGAAGGCGACCCCCUGGACAAAGACUGACACUCAUGUACGAAAGCGUGGCGAGCAAACAGGAUUAGAUACCCUGGUAGUCCAUGCUGUAAACAAUGUCAAUUUGAAGGUUGUAGCCUUGAGUUAUAGCUUUCGUAGCUAACGCGUUAAAUUGACCGCCUGGGGAGUACGGCCGCAAGGUUAAAACUCAAAUGAAUUGACGGGGGCCCGCACAAGCGGGGGAGCAUGUGGUUUAAUUCGAUGCAACGCGAAAAAACCUUACCUAUUCUUGGACAUCCAAAGAAUAAAACAGAAAUGUUUUAGUGCCCUUAGGGAACCUUUGAGACAGGUGCUGCAUGGGCUGUCGUCAGCUCGUGUUGUGAAAUGUUAGAUUAAGUCCAGCACCGAGCGCAACUCCUUGUCCCUUUGUUUGCCAUCGAGCAAAGCCGGGAACUUCAAAGGAGACUUGCUGGUGAUAAACGGGAGGAAGGUGGCGGACGACCGUCAGGUCCUCCUUGCCCUUACCGAAUAGGGCUACCCCACUGGCUACCAAGUGCAUAUACAAAGAAGACAGGACCUUUGGCAGAAACCUAGUCAAAUUCUCCAUU
This 802-nucleotide ribosomal RNA is filed under the name uncultured bacterium. Its description in RNAcentral is "bacterial SSU rRNA". It matches the Rfam family "Bacterial small subunit ribosomal RNA", at positions 501 to 1290 of the family's 1533-position model. The record is from RNAcentral.